RNAcentral lists this ribosomal RNA (400 nucleotides) under uncultured bacterium. RNAcentral describes it as "bacterial SSU rRNA". It matches the Rfam family "Bacterial small subunit ribosomal RNA", at positions 355 to 772 of the family's 1533-position model. The record is from RNAcentral.
UGGGGAAUAUUGCACAAUGGGGGAAACCCUGAUGCAGCGACGCCGCGUGAGUGAAGAAGUAUUUCGGUAUGUAAAGCUCUAUCAGCAAGGAAGAAAAUGACGGUACUUGACUAAGAAGCCCCGGCUAACUACGUGCCAGCAGCCGCGGUAAUACGUAGGGGGCAAGCGUUAUCCGGAUUUACUGGGUGUAAAGGGAGCGUAGACGGUUUGGCAAGUCAGAUGUGAAAGCCCAGGGCUCAACCCUGGGACUGCAUUUGAAACUGUUAAACUAGAGUGCAGGAGAGGUAAGUGGAAUUCCUAGUGUAGCGGUGAAAUGCGUAGAUAUUAGGAGGAACACCAGUGGCGAAGGCGACUUACUGGACUGUAACUGACGUUGAGGCUCGAAAGCGUGGGGAGCAAA